UUAUUAUAGAGUAUCUGUCUCUUGGCUUCCUGAGAAUCUGUCAUGAUUAAAUAGUGAAUGAAAGAAACUGAAUGGAAUUUGCUGUACCAUUGUGCCCAGAAUUGGUUCCUUCCGGUGGGUUCUUCGUCUGGCUGACUUCAAGAAUGAAGCUGUGGAUCCUCGCAAGAAUAGAGAAAAAACAUUGUUUUCUGAAAAACAACUCUGCAAAAACACUGACAUUAACAAAAAACACACCUGCUUGGAAAAGGGGAUAACAUGUUGGUCAAUGGUUAAAUUAUAUUUACUUUGAUAUGUCUCUGCAGGUUAAAUCAAUACCUAUAUGAAGCUUGAAGUUCACAUUUAUUAUGGAGGGCACUUGUAAAAGUGUAUUUGAAGCCUGUAAGAGCCAGAAGGACUCAGUCAUAUGCUGCCUUCUGUGCCUGAUGUUUUCUUUUGAACUAGGGAGAGACGUGAACAUACAGUCUGUUAUUGUAGCUUGUGCACAAAGACUCAAAUAAGAAAGAUGCGGGUGUCUGUAUAAGAAAAGGUUUAGAAAACUUGGCACAUAUUCUAUGAAUGUUAAGAACUUGUAUUAUUGUAAUUCUGUAAGUCUAAAUACAAUUGAAGGAAACAAACAUCUCUAUGUAUAAUGAGAUUAACUGAAACAUAAUUGAACAAAACUGGAAAUAAAGAAAAAUCUAUCAAAUAA
RNAcentral lists this long non-coding RNA (688 nucleotides) under Pongo abelii (Sumatran orangutan). RNAcentral's name for it is "lincRNA". The record is from RNAcentral. Lineage: Eukaryota; Metazoa; Chordata; Mammalia; Primates; Hominidae.